GGGGCCGUAGCUCAGCUGGGAGAGCGCAUGACUGGCAGUCAUGAGGUCAGGGGUUCGAUCCCCCUCGGCUCCACCU
RNAcentral lists this transfer RNA (76 nucleotides) under bacterium. Its description in RNAcentral is "tRNA-Ala". It matches the Rfam family "tRNA". Rfam says of the family: Transfer RNA (tRNA) molecules are approximately 80 nucleotides in length. Their secondary structure includes four short double-helical elements and three loops (D, anti-codon, and T loops). Further hydrogen bonds mediate the characteristic L-shaped molecular structure. tRNAs have two regions of fundamental functional importance: the anti-codon, which is responsible for specific mRNA codon recognition, and the 3' end, to which the tRNAs corresponding amino acid is attached (by aminoacyl-tRNA synthetases). tRNAs cope with the degeneracy of the genetic code in two manners: having more than one tRNA (with a specific anti-codon) for a particular amino acid; and 'wobble' base-pairing, i.e. permitting non-standard base-pairing at the 3rd anti-codon position. The record is from RNAcentral.